UUUACAUAUUUAUUUUCGUUAAGUUACGCAAGUUAAAUUCUUCAAUUUUAAUUUUUUUUUUGUGUUGUUAUGUUUUCGUAUGUUUCUAAAAAAAUAUUAUGUCAAUUUCUUUAUUUCUUCUAAGUAAUCUUUUAGUUAAAUCUUUUGCAUAACUAUGAAUCCAUUUUUAUACAACUAUGUCGGUAAACAAGAGAACAACUUAUAGACACAAAAGCUUCGAAAGCGCAUUCUACCUCCAUUCCCCACUAGGAGCUCUGGUUACCCUUACUCGAUCUUAGCAAAAAAAUUCUACGCUUGUGUUCAUUUUUUUUUUGAGGAUAAUAAAGAAUGUUAUUAUAUUUUUACUCUAUAGAAUGUUUUUAAGGAAUGAAAAAUUUAGAAAUUAAGCUAAAAAUUGGAAUUUUUCAGAAAACGUUCGCUAGGUAGGACGACGUCUGUGUCGGUUCAGGUCAAGAAUAUUUCGUCGAACUAGAAACGAAUUGAUUACACUUUGGAUGAAUUGCGACAAGCGAGACUCAUCGGUUAAAUAAAACUCAAGGCCACGGUCCCAUUUAAGAAACAACGCGUGCAACGGCUUUAAUGUGCAGACAUGGGACGGUUGCCAGGCAACGGAAUA
Molecule: unclassified non-coding RNA, 616 nt
Filed under: Melitaea cinxia (Glanville fritillary)
Lineage: Eukaryota; Metazoa; Arthropoda; Insecta; Lepidoptera; Nymphalidae
Description: misc RNA ENSMCXG00005005884.1
Source: RNAcentral